RNAcentral lists this ribosomal RNA (447 nucleotides) under uncultured bacterium. RNAcentral's name for it is "partial 16S ribosomal RNA". It matches the Rfam family "Bacterial small subunit ribosomal RNA", at positions 330 to 793 of the family's 1533-position model. The record is from RNAcentral.
GCCAGACUCCUACGGGAGGCAGCAGUAGGGAAUUUUGCGCAAUGGGGGAAACCCUGACGCAGCAACGCCGCGUGAUUGAUGAAGCCCUUCGGGGUGUAAAGAUCUGUCAGUGGGGACGAAACUUGACGGUACCCACAGAGGAAGCAUCGGCUAACUCCGUGCCAGCAGCCGCGGUAAUACGUAGGUGGCAAGCGUUAUCCGGAUUUACUGGGUGUAAAGGGCGUGUAGGCGGGGACGCAAGUCAGAUGUGAAAACCACGGGCUCACCCUGUGGCCUGCAUUUGAAACUGUACUUCUUGAGUGCUGGAGAGGCAAUCGGAAUUCCGUGUGUAGCGGUGAAAUGCGUCGAUAUACGGAGGAACACCAGUGGCGAAGGCGGAUUGCUGGACAGUAACUGACGCUGAGGCGCGAAAGCGUGGGGAGCAAACAGGAUUAGAUACCCGGGUAA